Long non-coding RNA from Arachis stenosperma, 972 nucleotides. RefSeq lists it as uncharacterized. The transcript is spliced from 3 exons. Lineage: Eukaryota; Viridiplantae; Streptophyta; Magnoliopsida; Fabales; Fabaceae. The record is from RefSeq and is a predicted model, not a curated record.
GCUGGCAGUAUCGGUCUAGUCUGAUUGUAAUCACAUUGAAAAAAAUAAAAUUUUAAAAAUUGAAUUUAUUGUUUUAAAAGGGCAAAAAUAAUUUAGAAUUAAAACUGGAUACUAAUCUUAAAGAUUUUGGUCUAAAGUGGGCCAAACGAACCAAUAACACUUAGCGGGUUGGACUGAGAUCAAGUUGGGCAUAAGUCCAACAUAUAAAUACCCUAACUAGCGAGCAUUCAGCUCAUUUUCACCAAGAAACAAAGAAAGGGGCGCUGAACUUGUGAAGAGAAGAAGAAAAUCAUUUUUACUAUUUAUCUCCUCCUUCUUUUGGCCAUAACUUGAGUUACAGAGCUCUGAUUGACGAGCCGUUUACAGCCACGUAAAGCUCUCAUCGAACUCUUCGUUUUUAUCUAAGAAAAUCUGGUAAGAAUUCAAAACUCACGCUCCAAUUUCUGUCCUAAUGAAAUCUACGAUUUUACAUUUGGUUUUUGAGUAGAUUUUGUGAUUUUGUUUGUUUAGGGGUGAUCUAGCAUUGAAAUAUUGUUGGGUUUCGCCCCUAAUCUCGUUGGGUAAGAUUGAGGUUUGAUGUUUAUUGGAGUGAGCUUGAUGGUUUUGGAGCUUUAAGCUUGAGCUUGGUGUUUUGAGUUGCGUGGGAAUUGGGCAAGGUCAGGUAGGCGGCGACGAUGGGAUUGCAAGGAGGUUAGGUUGGUGGAGGCUGUGGGAUACAACAGUGUGACUAGUUUUAGUUAGAAAUCUCCUAAGAUUAGAUAACCCUAUUUAUGGUUUAUGGUUUAAAUUAUUUAUUUUCAUUAAGCUUGAAUAUCUGUUUUUGAUGUGAAGUUCUAGGAUUGCCUCUGGCAUCUCAGAACCUUAUAUCUUACAUAUUAGGCACUGUUACCAUACUGAGAACCUCCGGUUCUCAUACCAUAUGUUGUUGUUUUUCAGAUGUAGGUCGCAACCCACCUCGGUGAGUUUGCGAGU